GCGACCUCAGGUCAGGCGGGGCCACCCGCUGAUUUUUUAAACAU
RNAcentral lists this ribosomal RNA (44 nucleotides) under Astrocaryum sciophilum. Its description in RNAcentral is "partial 26S ribosomal RNA". The record is from RNAcentral. Lineage: Eukaryota; Viridiplantae; Streptophyta; Magnoliopsida; Arecales; Arecaceae.